GAAAUGGACAAGGUAGAAGGGAC
This 23-nucleotide non-coding RNA is filed under the name Cricetulus griseus (Chinese hamster). Lineage: Eukaryota; Metazoa; Chordata; Mammalia; Rodentia; Cricetidae. The record is from RNAcentral.